UACGUAGGGUGCGAGCGUUGUCCGGAAUUAUUGGGCGUAAAGGGCUCGUAGGCGGUCUGUCGCGUCGGGAGUGAAAACUCAGGGCUUAACCCUGAGCCUGCUUCCGAUACGGGCAGACUAGAGGUAUGCAGGGGAGAACGGAAUUCCUGGUGUAGCGGUGGAAUGCGCAGAUAUCAGGAGGAACACCGGUGGCGAAGGCGGUUCUCUGGGCAUUACCUGACGCUGAGGAGCGAAAGUUUGGGGAGCGAACAGG
Molecule: ribosomal RNA, 253 nt
Filed under: uncultured bacterium
Lineage: Bacteria
Description: partial 16S ribosomal RNA
Rfam family: Bacterial small subunit ribosomal RNA
Source: RNAcentral